AUCCCUGUGGCUCAGUUGGUAGAGCAUGGUGUUUGCAACGCCAGCAUGGUGUGUGCAACGCCAGGGUUGUGGGUUCGAUUCCCACGGGGGGCC
Molecule: non-coding RNA, 93 nt
Organism: Salmo salar (Atlantic salmon)
Lineage: Eukaryota; Metazoa; Chordata; Actinopteri; Salmoniformes; Salmonidae
Source: Rfam